UGGCUCAGGACGAACGCUGGCGGCGUGCCUAAUACAUGCAAGUCGAGCGGACCGACGGGAGCUUGCUCCCUUAGGUCAGCGGCGGACGGGUGAGUAACACGUGGGUAACCUGCCUGUAAGACUGGGAUAACUCCGGGAAACCGGGGCUAAUACCGGAUGCUUGAUUGAACCGCAUGGUUCAAUCAUAAAAGGUGGCUUUUAGCUACCACUUGCAGAUGGACCCGCGGCGCAUUAGCUAGUUGGUGAGGUAACGGCUCACCAAGGCGACGAUGCGUAGCCGACCUGAGAGGGUGAUCGGCCACACUGGGACUGGGACACGGCCCAGACUCCUACGGGAGGCAGCAGUAGGGAAUCUUCCGCAAUGGACGAAAGUCUGACGGAGCAACGCCGCGUGAGUGAUGAAGGUUUUCGGAUCGUAAAACUCUGUUGUUAGGGAAGAACAAGUACCGUUCGAAUAGGGCGGCACCUUGACGGUACCUAACCAGAAAGCCACGGCUAACUACGUGCCAGCAGCGGC
Molecule: ribosomal RNA, 517 nt
Filed under: uncultured bacterium
Lineage: Bacteria
Description: bacterial SSU rRNA
Rfam family: Bacterial small subunit ribosomal RNA
Source: RNAcentral